Long non-coding RNA from Gopherus evgoodei (Goodes thornscrub tortoise), 1015 nucleotides. RefSeq lists it as uncharacterized. Lineage: Eukaryota; Metazoa; Chordata; Testudines; Testudinidae. The transcript is spliced from 2 exons. The record is from RefSeq and is a predicted model, not a curated record.
UUGUUUUGAUACUAUAUGGUUACAUGAGGUACAAGUGUCCUUUAUUUUGUUACAUGGUGCACAUGGGAGACGGGAUAGAAAUUAACAACACUAGCUACUGUUUUCAUCUGCUUCUCAUUCCCCAUGCAGCUACACAGUGGGGACCCUGCAUAAAGUUUGUUAAUGCCCACCGGGAUCAUCUGGGAGUCUUCCAUAGAGGUCUCUAGGAAACUUUCCCGAAGGUACUCUGCAAUCCUCUGCCAGAUGUUCCUUGUCAGAGCUACUUGGUUUCCUCCCUCCAUUUUAGGAACCUUUGCCGUUCCAGUCAGCAGUUACUUCUGCAGGAACCAAAGCAGUGCACAGGCAAGCAGCGUGUGGACUCAGUCUGAAGCCGCACACAUGCAGGAGAUGCCCCUUGCAUCCUUGGUUACCCUCAGUAGUGAGAUAUCAGCUUCAAUCACCCACAUCUUGGAAGAUGGUGCCAGUAUUCAGAAUAGUGUCCCCAGAGGUGCCCUUUAGGACCAGCUCCUACACACCAGUGUAGCGCCUCCAUCAGACAAGCAGGUGAACAAGGAGUAAGGAGGACAUGUUUUGGGAAGUGCUGCAAUCGUCAGAUCUUACAGAUAGCGAGCACGAAGUGUAGAGAGAGACAAUAAAUGAGAAACUAGAAAUGGAUACCCAGGAGAGGAGGCAGGGCAGGAACAGAUAAUAGAGGGUCAAAGGAACAGAUAUAAAGUUCACAGAGGAGCAAACAGCUGCUCAGGUCCCUGACUGUGCUACAGUUGAAACAUCCGUGCUAGAGUCCCCCAGGUGCCCAUACAGAACUGCAUUCCAUGCCCUCCACAAACUCUCCCCACGCAUUCCUCACAUGUCUCUGGCCCUUGCACUCCACUCCUAGGGACAUGUUCCAUAGUGACAGCUGGACUUACAUGCAGCUGUGGGAUUCUCAUUUCAGAGAGUGCUGCUCAGUGUCAUGUCUCCUGUAAGAAAUGUAAAUCUGUGUAUUGCUGUUUAAUAAAAACGUAGUCUUACAAGA